RNAcentral lists this ribosomal RNA (497 nucleotides) under uncultured bacterium. RNAcentral's name for it is "partial 16S ribosomal RNA". It matches the Rfam family "Bacterial small subunit ribosomal RNA", at positions 28 to 507 of the family's 1533-position model. The record is from RNAcentral.
GACGAACGCUGGCGGCGUGCUUAACACAUGCAAGUCGAACGGUGAAGCGCCUUCCUUUUUGGUCGGUCGGGAUGAGUGGCGAACGGGUGAGCAACACGUGAGUAACCUGCUCCCUUCUUCUGGAUAACCGCAUGCAAGUGUUGCUACUACGGGAUAUAUUGGGCCUGUCGCAUGAUGGGUCUGGGACGGUUUUUGUUUCGGUUGGGGAUGGGUUCGCGGCCGAUUAGCUGGUUGGUGGGGUGAUGGCCUACCAAGGCGGCGAUGGGUAGCCGGCCUGAGAGGGUGGUGGGCGGCAACAGUGGGAAGGCGCGACGCAGAAGCCUCCGGGGGGCGGCAGUAGGGGAGAUUAUGGCACAGUGGGAGGAAGGCUGGUGCAGCGACGCGGCGGGGGUGAUGGUGUUCUUCGCGUUGUGAACCUCUUUCGGGGGAGAAGCAGGCCGGCCUCGAUUGUGGGUGGGUUGACGGUAGCUGGAUAAGAAGCGCCGGCUAACUACGUG